UCUUUGCUGACGAGUGGCGGACGGGUGAGUAAUGUCUGGGAAACUGCCUGAUGGAGGGGGAUAACUACUGGAAACGGUAGCUAAUACCGCAUAACGUCGCAAGACCAAAAAGGGGGACCUUCGGGCCUCUUGCCAUCGGAUGUGCCCAGAUGGGAUUAGCUAGUAGGUGGGGUAACGGCUCACCUAGGCGACGAUCCCUAGCUGGUCUGAGAGGAUGACCAGCCACACUGGAACUGAGACACGGUCCAGACUCCUACGGGAGGCAGCAGUGGGGAAUAUUGCACAAUGGGCGCAAGCCUGAUGCAGCCAUGCCGCGUGUAUGAAGAAGGCCUUCGGGUUGUAAAGUACUUUCAGCGGGGAGGAAGGGAGUAAAGUUAAUACCUUUGCUCAUUGACGUUACCCGCAGAAGAAGCACCGGCUAACUCCGUGCCAGCAGCCGCGGUAAUACGGAGGGUGCAAGCGUUAAUCGGAAUUACUGGGCGUAAAGCGCACGCAGGCGGUUUGUUAAGUCAGAUGUGAAAUCCCCGGGCUCAACCUGGGAACUGCAUCUGAUACUGGCAAGCUUGAGUCUCGUAGAGGGGGGUAGAAUUCCAGGUGUAGCGGUGAAAUGCGUAGAGAUCUGGAGGAAUACCGGUGGCGAAG
RNAcentral lists this ribosomal RNA (642 nucleotides) under uncultured bacterium. RNAcentral's name for it is "bacterial SSU rRNA". It matches the Rfam family "Bacterial small subunit ribosomal RNA", at positions 82 to 720 of the family's 1533-position model. The record is from RNAcentral.